AUUAAAUGAAAUCUAAAAUCUAAUAAAUAAUCCAGGUUCUAAUAAUGCUUGGACUGAACCAUCCUACCUAUGUAUCGAGAAAGAGAUGUCAAAAUUUUAAAAUACACACAGUUACGGUUUAUUUAUUAAUACAAAAGUGUUAAGAUUUAUUAGUUUAUUUAAUGCAACGCUCUUUAUGUCAAUUUUGCAUUCUAGCUCCACGUCAGGGUCCACCUUCUCGGGCCUUGGCAGGCCGGGUCAGUGAUAAAAAACCCGAUUAAAAUUCACCGGAUCGUAUCCGGAACUCCGAAUUCUUCUUCUUGCCCGUUCGGUUACUUCCGAAGUAGUUCCCAAUUCUCAAUAUUGUCCUUUUUGUCAUUUCUCGCACUCUUCAAUCUUCUCCGUUGUCAAUCUCUCUUUUGCUUGUGUCUUUUCACCAAAUCAGGUAAAUAUAUUAUCCUAUCUCAAAUCCUCAAAUUUUAUCUUUAUUUUGUUCCUGUUAAUGUCAAUUACUUAUCUAGGGUUUGUUACUUGUUAAUGGACUUUAAUUGAUUUUUAUUUGUAUUUUCUGUGAUUUUUUCCCUAUUAGAUUAGAUCUGCGUUUUCAUAAUAUUUUUUUAUUUUUUAUUUUCUUCUGAUUGUGUAAUUAUGUUUUCUUUAUUUAUUUUUAUUUUUUAUGCGUAUGCGUACAUGAAAUUUUGCUUGUCGAGGAUUUUUAAAUCUAAAACCCUAGAUUUGUAUUAUUGAGACCAAAUAUGAGCUUUCAUGGAGGAUGGUUCAAUCGUACAUAUUGUGUAGAAGAGAAUGUGUAUUUGUUUAUAUACCGUGUGUGUAUAAACCGAACUUCGUAAUUGACCUGGAUUUCAAUUGGAAUAAAUCAAUACCUGAGAGAAUGUACGAUGUAAUAAUUUAUAGUGGAAGACCAAAUCCGAGUUUUCGCGGAUGAUGGUUUGGUUGAGUGUAUAUGAUUACGGUUGUUUGUAGAUGAGACUGUGUAUUUUCUUAUAUUGUGUGUAUAUACAUACCAGUUUAUUUAAGGCUGUGUCUGGACCCCGGAUUUCAAUUAUGAUAGAACAACACCAGCAAGAAUGUAUGAUAUAAUAAUUUACGGUGUGAAUUUGAAUGAAAUGAAACAGGACAAUUAAGCUAAAAUUCUUAAGAGCAUUUUCAAAAGGCUUUCUAUUUAUAAAGAGCAUCUUUAAAUUUUGAGAGAUUUUUUUUAUACACUCCAAUAAGCUCUCUAUUUUGAUUUUUUAUUUGUUUUUUUCCAAUGAACAUUUAAUAAUUUCUCCACAUUUUUUAUUUAAAUAGAAGAUUUUUAUAUAUUAAUGACCAAUUCAUUCAAAUGUAAUUUGAAAAUUUUAAAUUGUAGAGUAUUGAAAUUUGUAAUGUAUUAAAUGUAAUCAUUGUACAUUAAGAAUAGAGAGUGAGUUUGGCUCUCUAAAUUUGGAGAACCAAAUACACUCUCUACUUUAAAAAGUUAAAAUAGAGAGUCUCUUGGAAUUCAUUUUUAAAUAUUGACUCUCUAAAAUAGAGAGUAUUUUGUAUUUAAAGAAUAUCUUGGAGAUACUCUAAGAAGCUUUUUACAUUGUUCUCUUUUAAUUUUUUAUGGUUUGAGACAUACUUCUAACUUUAGUUCUUUACUGGGUAGAAGAGAGAAAUUCGUUAUCGAAGUUCUUUUCCCAUUUUUCUUUCUUUUUAUUGUUUUUAUGUAGGAAUUUUUGUGGACUGGCUGAAAGCAUAGACGUCAUUCAUAUAUUUGUAGACCUACUUCAAAUUUAUUUGGCAUUAGGGAAUCCAUUUUUUUUCUUUUUUCAUUUUUACCUGGAUUGAGAAUAUUUCAGGGCACACCCGGAAGGUUAACAUGAUAAGGCGUUUCAUUACAUAAAGCAAAGACUUCAUCUAGAAGAACUCAGAUUUAUAUUAGAAAUUGCUUUUGCUUCUAUCGUUGAAUUACAAGUUCUUGAUAUCUGAUAUUAGUUGUGUUUGUAUACUGCUCUGUGGAAGACUAAAAUAAGUGUUCCUUCAUGGUCGCCCCUUUUUUCUCUCUACCUACCUGGGGUACAGACCAAAACCCUCAACUAAGCGCAGGUCGUGUUAUGUUAACUAGGUAAAAAAAACAAGGGAAAUUGAAAAUAUACUCAACAUGGUUAGCCAGUUGUUUAUUGUUUAUGCGCAUAAUUUGUUCAGAUACUUGAAGAUGUUUUGGGUAGUAGAUUUUCACGAAUUCAUUGAUAUAGAAUGUUAUACAAUGAUUAAUAAUGCAGGAUGUCUGAAGCCCCCUUUAGGCCAAGAGAAGUCCUCUUCGAUAGGCAAAAGUUAUUUCAGAGCAUUCACAAACAUACAUAUCUGAAAGGUCCAUACGAUAAGAUCACCUCGGUUGCAAUUCCUCUGGCUUUGGCUGGUAGUUCAUUAUUUCUAAUUGUGAGCUCCUUUUUACUCUUUUAAUCGUUUUUGCCUUUUUCAUCCACGAUUGAGUUUGACACUGAUUGUACCUGAUGAAUGUUCUCCAGGGGAGAGGGAUCUAUAACAUGUCUCAUGGGAUUGGAAAGAAGGAAUGAGAAGAUGGAUUCCAUUGAACGAGUGUACAAGUGGGAACUCAACUAUUCAGCACGUUUUUUAAGGAUUUGUUUUUGUUCUUUACAUAUCCUCCUUUUCUUUGCUAAUAAUGAUGAAUUGCAAACUAUAUGUCUGUUCUGUCAUCGAUGACACGAGUCGAUACUUUUUUGUUUCCUGGAAGUACAGCUGAAAUAUGAUUUUUCCUUCUUCUUAGAGGUGGAGAACAAUGAAUUUGUGGAUGGAUUAGAUUUCGUCAAGCAAAAAGAUUUCCUCUUGUACCAGAUUAUGAUUAAGCUUCAAUUAGAGUUGUAUGAAAUCAUCUCACAUGUGAGCACCUAAUAAACAAGAUUAUUGCACGUUUGAUACAAUAAUAUACAAAAUUUUAGUUUCAUUUUGUUAGGUCUACUUCGCCAAACAAAUCAUUAGUGCAUUUGCGGAGUAGAUUCGAAUAAAAUGAAGAAAAACUAAAUAAUAUAAAUUUCAAUGUUUGUAUAUUCCCAAGCUAAGAAUUUGAGAGUACUUUUCGAGUGUCCUCAUAAAAACUAGUUACACUAAG
Molecule: long non-coding RNA, 3094 nt
Filed under: Olea europaea subsp. europaea
Lineage: Eukaryota; Viridiplantae; Streptophyta; Magnoliopsida; Lamiales; Oleaceae
Source: RNAcentral